UAGGGAAUCUUCCACAAUGGACGCAAGUCUGAUGGAGCAACGCCGCGUGAGUGAAGAAGGUUUUCGGAUCGUAAAGCUCUGUUGUUGGUGAAGAAGGAUAGAGGUAGUAACUGGCCUUUAUUUGACGGUAAUCAACCAGAAAGUCACGGCUAACUACGUGCCAGCAGCCGCGGUAAUACGUAGGUGGCAAGCGUUGUCCGGAUUUAUUGGGCGUAAAGCGAGCGCAGGCGGAAGAAUAAGUCUGAUGUGAAAGCCCUCGGCUUAACCGAGGAACUGCAUCGGAAACUGUUUUUCUUGAGUGCAGAAGAGGAGAGGGGAACUCCAUGUGUAGCGGUGGAAUGCGUAGAUAUAUGGAAGAACACCAGUGGCGAAGGCGACUCUCUGGUCUGCAACUGACGCUGAGGCUCGAAAGCAUGGGUAGCGAACAGG
Molecule: ribosomal RNA, 429 nt
Filed under: Actinomycetes bacterium
Lineage: Bacteria; Bacillati; Actinomycetota; Actinomycetes
Description: Actinobacteria bacterium partial 16S ribosomal RNA
Rfam family: Bacterial small subunit ribosomal RNA
Source: RNAcentral